Molecule: long non-coding RNA, 331 nt
Organism: Homo sapiens (human)
Lineage: Eukaryota; Metazoa; Chordata; Mammalia; Primates; Hominidae
Exons: 4
Source: RefSeq, a predicted model, not a curated record
CUUACGGAGGCCCUGUGAAGAUCCUAUGGAGAUCCAGUCGAGGUCCUAUGAAGAUCCACGGAGAACCUAUGGAUGUCCUGCAAAGGUGUUUCUCUCACAUGGAGGAAAAGACAUAAGCCAUUGGAAGAGGCUCAGAUAAUUCUGCCCACCUCAGAUCCCAGAGGUAGAACACACGGGCUGGGAAAGGAAAGGAGCGUGUCAUCAACAGCCCCCAUCACCACCCCUCCAGGUGACUCACUGGGCAGAUAAGCACGUCCUGGGCCUGCACUUUUAGAUUGCUGAUUUAAAAGUAUGAAAUAUCCGGGCGUGGUGGCUCACGCCUGUAAUCGCA